Molecule: unclassified non-coding RNA, 224 nt
Filed under: Hevea brasiliensis (rubber tree)
Lineage: Eukaryota; Viridiplantae; Streptophyta; Magnoliopsida; Malpighiales; Euphorbiaceae
Source: RNAcentral
UUUUUAGAAAUUGACACCAAGUAUAAAGGGUUUUUCUUUUCCUUUUCUUCUAGGGUAGGUAGGAAGUUUAGAAAUCACAUGAAAAUGUUCUCCUUGGGUGGUUGACUGGUUUGGAAACAAUAAGCAAAGGAGAAAACAAGUGUCUUUGAAAACUUUGUGAUUUUUUCAAUGAAAUCAUAUCAGAUUCUAACAUGUGAGUUAGGUUCUCUCUAAUGAAGGUAUUG